RNAcentral lists this ribosomal RNA (443 nucleotides) under uncultured bacterium. RNAcentral describes it as "partial 16S ribosomal RNA". It matches the Rfam family "Bacterial small subunit ribosomal RNA", at positions 338 to 795 of the family's 1533-position model. The record is from RNAcentral.
CCUACGGGAGGCUGCAGUUAGGAAUUUUGCGCAAUGGGCGAAAGCCUGACGCAGCAACGCCGCGUGAGUGAAGAAGGCCUUCGGGUUGUAAAGCUCUUUUAUUCGGGAAGAAACAAAUGACGGUACCGAAAGAAAAAGCACCGGCUAACUCUGUGCCAGCAGCCGCGGUAAUACAGAGGGUGCAAGCGUUAUUCGGAAUUACUGGGCGUAAAGCGCAUGUAGGUGGUUUGAUAAGUCUGGUGUGAAAGCCCCCGACUCAAUCGGGGAAGUGCAUUGGAUACUGUCAGACUGGAGUAUGGGAGAGGAGAGUGGAAUUCCAGGUGUAGAGGUGAAAUUCGUAGAUAUCUGGAGGAACAACAGAGGCGAAGGCGGCUCUCUGGACCAUAACUGACACUGAAAUGCGAAAGCGUGGGGAGCAAACAGGAUUAGAUACCCGGGUAGUC